Molecule: ribosomal RNA, 497 nt
Filed under: uncultured bacterium
Lineage: Bacteria
Description: partial 16S ribosomal RNA
Rfam family: Bacterial small subunit ribosomal RNA
Source: RNAcentral
GAUGAACGCUGGCGGCGUGCCUAAUACACGCAAGUCGAGCGAACGGACGAGAAGCUUGCUUCUCUGGUGUUAGCGGCGGACGGGUGAGUAACACGUGGAUAACCUACCUAUAAGACUGGGAUAACUUCGGGAAACCGGAGCUAAUACCGUAUAAUAUUUUGAACCUCAUGGUUCAAAAGUGAAAGACGGUCUUGCUGUCACUUAUAGAUGGAUCCGCGCUGCAUUAGCUAGUUGGUAAGGUAACGGCUUACCAAGGCAACGAUGCAUAGCCGACGUGAGAGGGUGAUAGGCCACACUGGAACUGAGACCCGGUCCAGACUCCUACGGGAGGCAGCAGUAGGGAAUCUUCCGCAAUGGGCGAAAGCCUGACGGAGCAACGCCGCGUGAGUGAUGAAGGUCUUCGGAUCGUAAAACUCUGUUAUUGGGGAAGAACAGAUGUGUAAGUAACUGUGCACAUCUUGACGGUACCUAAUCAGAAAGCAACGGCUAACUACGUG